Long non-coding RNA from Syngnathoides biaculeatus (alligator pipefish), 484 nucleotides. RefSeq lists it as uncharacterized. The transcript has 3 exons. The record is from RefSeq and is a predicted model, not a curated record. Lineage: Eukaryota; Metazoa; Chordata; Actinopteri; Syngnathiformes; Syngnathidae.
GUGUGUGUGUGUGUGUGUGUGUGUGUGUGUGUGUGUGUGUGUUGGAGUAGGUGGGGGGGUUGCAAAAUUCUGGAUACAUAAGCAGGAUCCUAAACAGGAUCAACAUAGCGGUUUCAAGCUUCGGUUCCUUGUGCUGCUAUCUUCUGGUGGGCGUCUCUUGGCGACCUGGGGGCAGUGUACUGACUGAGAUGAGAGAUGGUCAAAACUUCUCGAUGCAGUAAUAUUGCUGAUUCUUCACAACUGAUAUAGAUUAGAUGCCUCGCAAGGCAGAAGGUCAUCCACCCAAUCACAAUUGGACCGGCAGCGGUGUUCGACGUCUUUGGUAGUCAGCGGAUUUGGAUGGAUAAGAUGGCGGCUCGUUGUCGUGACGAUCGUUUCGAUGAACUCUUCUGAUAUUCACUUUUUGCAGCUUGUGAAGACGGUGUCCUGUAUUUGUGACUGUUGUGCUAGCCUUUAAAAAAAAUCUCUCAAGCUCUUCAUUAAA